GACGAACGCUGGCGGCGUGCUUAACACAUGCAAGUCGAACGGAAAGGCCCUGCUUGCAGGGUACUCGAGUGGCGAACGGGUGAGUAACACGUGGGUGAUCUGCCCUGCACUUCGGGAUAAGCCUGGGAAACUGGGUCUAAUACCGGAUAGGAGCCAUUUUUAGUGUGAUGGUUGGAAAGUUUUUUCGGUGUAGGAUGAGCUCGCGGCCUAUCAGCUUGUUGGUGGGGUAAUGGCCUACCAAGGCGGCGACGGGUAGCCGGCCUGAGAGGGUGGACGGCCAAAUUGGGACGGAGAUGCGGCCCAGACUCCUACGGGGGGCAGAAGGGGGGAAUAUUGCAAAAUGGGGGCAAGCCUGAUGCAGCGACGCCGGGGGGGGGAUGACGGCCUUCGGGUUGUAAACUCCUUUCGCUGGGGACGAAGCUUUUUGUGCCGGUACCAAGAAAAGAAGCCCCGGAUAAUUCCGG
This 464-nucleotide ribosomal RNA is filed under the name uncultured bacterium. RNAcentral's name for it is "partial 16S ribosomal RNA". It matches the Rfam family "Bacterial small subunit ribosomal RNA", at positions 28 to 506 of the family's 1533-position model. The record is from RNAcentral.